Molecule: ribosomal RNA, 492 nt
Filed under: uncultured bacterium
Lineage: Bacteria
Description: partial 16S ribosomal RNA
Rfam family: Bacterial small subunit ribosomal RNA
Source: RNAcentral
AGUGAACGCUGGCGGUAGGCCUAACACAUGCAAGUCGAACGGCAGCACAGUAAGAGCUUGCUCUUACGGGUGGCGAGUGGCGGACGGGUGAGGAAUACAUCGGAAUCUACUUUUUCGUGGGGGAUAACGUAGGGAAACUUACGCUAAUACCGCAUACGACCUACGGGUGAAAGCAGGGGAUCUUCGGGCCUUGCGCGAUUGAAUGAGCCGAUGUCGGAUUAGCUAGUUGGCGGGGUAAAGGCCCACCAAGGCGACGAUCCGUAGCUGGUCUGAGAGGAUGGUCAGCCACACUGGAACUGAGACACGGUCCAGACUCCUACGGGAGGCAGCAGUGGGGAAUAUUGGACAAUGGGCGCAAGCCUGAUCCAGCCAUACCGCGUGGGUGAAGAAGGCCUUCGGGUUGUAAAGCCCUUUUUUUGGGAAAGAAAAGCAGCAGGUUAAUACCCCGCUGUUCUGACGGUACCCAAAGAAUAAGCACCGGCUAACUUCGUG